CCUACGGGCGGCAGCAGUGGGGAAUAUUGCACAAUGGGCGCAAGCCUGAUGCAGCCAUGCCGCGUGUGUGAAGAAGGCCUUCGGGUUGUAAAGCACUUUCAGCGGGGAGGAAGGCGUUAAGGUUAAUAACCUUGGCGAUUGACGUUACCCGCAGAAGAAGCACCGGCUAACUCCGUGCCAGCAGCCGCGGUAAUACGGAGGGUGCAAGCGUUAAUCGGAAUUACUGGGCGUAAAGCGCACGCAGGCGGUCUGUCAAGUCGGAUGUGAAAUCCCCGGGCUCAACCUGGGAACUGCAUUAGAAACUGGCAGGCUAGAGUCUUGUAGAGGGGGGUAGAAUUCCAGGUGUAGCGGUGAAAGGCGUAGAGAGCUGGAGGAAUACCGGUGGCGAAGGCGGACCCCUGGACAAAGACUGACGCUCAGGUGCGAAAGCGUGGGGAGCAAACAGGAUUAGAUACCCGUGUAGUC
Molecule: ribosomal RNA, 465 nt
Filed under: uncultured Enterobacteriaceae bacterium
Lineage: Bacteria; Pseudomonadati; Pseudomonadota; Gammaproteobacteria; Enterobacterales; Enterobacteriaceae
Description: bacterial SSU rRNA
Rfam family: Bacterial small subunit ribosomal RNA
Source: RNAcentral